CCUACGGGUGGCAGCAGUGGGGAAUAUUGCACAAUGGACGAAACCCUGAUCCAGCGACGCCGCGUGAGGGAAGACGUCUUUCGGUAUGUAAAGCUCUAUCAGCAGGGGAGUAGAAGGACGGUACCUGACUAAGAAGCCCCGGCUAACUACGUGCCAGCAGCCGCGGUAAUACGUAGGGGGCAAGCGUUAUCCGGAUUUACUGGGUGUAAAGGGAGCGUAGACGGCUGUGCAAGUCUGAAGUGAAAGCCCAGGGCUCAACCCUGGGACUGCAUUGGAAACUGUGGAGCUAGAGUGCUGGAGAGGUAAGUGGAAUUCAUGGUGUAGCGGUGAAAUGCGUAGAUAUUAGGAGGAACACCAGUGGCGAAGGCGGCUUACUGGACAGUAACUGACGUUGAGGCUCGAAAGCGUGGGGAGCAAACAGGAUUAGAUACCCGGGUAGUC
RNAcentral lists this ribosomal RNA (441 nucleotides) under uncultured bacterium. RNAcentral describes it as "partial 16S ribosomal RNA". It matches the Rfam family "Bacterial small subunit ribosomal RNA", at positions 338 to 795 of the family's 1533-position model. The record is from RNAcentral.